Molecule: long non-coding RNA, 809 nt
Organism: Magallana angulata
Lineage: Eukaryota; Metazoa; Mollusca; Bivalvia; Ostreida; Ostreidae
Exons: 4
Source: RefSeq, a predicted model, not a curated record
AAAAAUCAUAAUAGUUGAAGUAUGUGUACUUUUUCCAUGGUCAAUACAUUUUUUUCUUAUGAACAAUAAAAAUAAAAGUACGUGCGUGAAUUAGUUGACUAACAGAUGAAUUCAGGUUGCAGACAUCCUAAGGCUUGCUUGUCAACGAAUGAUGAUGAGGGUUUUAUUGGCGAUCUUAUCUUUCUCCUUGAUGUUUGAAAUUCCGUUAAGCGUCGUUAUAAAUGAAGAAAGAGAAAGAUACCUUAACUGCGACGUUUACACUCACAGCGCAGACAUUCCUACUCAAAAUACAAUUUGCCACCGUCACUUCACGCAACGAAAAUUUUACUGUAGGACAUGGCAAUGCGAAACUCCGAGAUGUCCAUUGAGACGGCAAAUCCCCCGGGCAAGGGACUGUUCAUAUUGUCCAAAUACAUGUACCCGUUGGGGUAAAAUCUACAACACAGGAGAUAAUUACCGUUGUCAGGAUGGGUCGAAUUUCUGCCUCUGUAUUGAAGGGGAGAACACCAUAUCUACAAGAAUGGCGACCUCAGUUUACAGCAUCUGUCGAUGAUUUAUAAAGUUGGUUCCUGUGGGUCAAAGAACUUGCUACAUGCAUACUUUUUUCAAAUUAAAAGAACAUCAGUAUAAAUCUGUUAUUCAUGGUAGAAUGUUUUUCCGCCAAAUAGAAAACAUCUAUAGUUGUACAUUUAAAAAGAAAGUACUUAAAUGUUUUUGCGUCUACUUACAUGUAACUCAAUGUAGAAAGGGAAAAGUUCUUUUUGAAACCAAAUCAUGUAUUAAUAUUGAUUAAAAAAUGAACAAUUGGU